CGAAUAUUCCGCAAUGGGGGAAACCCUGACGGAGCACUGCCGCGUGUGGGAUGAAGCGGUUUCGCCGUGUAAACCACUGUCAGAGUCUAGGAACACUGACCAGACUCACAGGAAGGGCCGGCUAAUUCCGUGCCAGCAGCCGCGGUAAUACGGAAGGCCCGAGCGUUAAUCGGAAUUACUGGGCUUAAAGCGUGCGCAGGCGGAUCGAAGGGUGUCUUGUGAAAUCCCUCGGCUCAACCGGGGAACUGCAGGGCAAACCGCCGAUCUUGAGGCAGGUAGGGGUCGAUGGAACUGUCGGUGGAGCGGUGAAAUGCGUAGAUAUCGACAGGAACGCCGGUGGCGAAGGCGAUCGACUGGGCCUGUCCUGACGCUCAUGCACGAAAGCGUGGGGAGCAAAC
Molecule: ribosomal RNA, 398 nt
Filed under: uncultured bacterium
Lineage: Bacteria
Description: bacterial SSU rRNA
Rfam family: Bacterial small subunit ribosomal RNA
Source: RNAcentral